GAAUCAGGUUUUGCCCCAUCCAUAGAAUCCCCUGUUAGCCUUCGCUAUCGUCCCUGCUAUUGAAUGAGGAGUUAGCAGAGGUAUGUGAACAAGCCUAUUAUACCUCACUGGUGCUCUUCGCCAGAUCUUUUUUAAGCAACAAGAAUUAUUUCCUUAUCUUAUGAAAGGGAAAAAAGCUAUGCUUUAGGUAGAAUCUAUUGCCAUUAUCAACAAUGUCCUCCAUCUUUUUCAACAUCUUUCUGGUCUCAUCCCAGGCUAAGAGUACCUUUUCAUGUAAUAGAAGAAUGGGAUCUUAUACUUAUUAAAGUAGAUGGGGUAGGCGGGGCACAUCUCUCUUAGCUACGAUCAUGAUGGAUUAGCGCUCAGGG
This 368-nucleotide long non-coding RNA is filed under the name Manihot esculenta (cassava). Its description in RNAcentral is "long non-coding RNA (MESC_LNC010933)". The record is from RNAcentral. Lineage: Eukaryota; Viridiplantae; Streptophyta; Magnoliopsida; Malpighiales; Euphorbiaceae.